GAUCUAGCUUGCUAGAUGCUGACGAGCGGCGGACGGGUGAGUAAUGCAUAGGAAUCUACCCGGUAGUGGGGGAUAACCUGGGGAAACCCAGGCUAAUACCGCAUACGUCCUACGGGAGAAAGGGGGCUCCGGCUCCCGCUAUCGGAUGAGCCUAUGUCGGAUUAGCUAGUUGGUGAGGUAAUGGCUCACCAAGGCAACGAUCCGUAGCUGGUCUGAGAGGAUGAUCAGCCACAUCGGGACUGAGACACGGCCCGAACUCCUACGGGAGGCAGCAGUGGGGAAUAUUGGACAAUGGGCGAAAGCCUGAUCCAGCCAUGCCGCGUGUGUGAAGAAGGCCUUCGGGUUGUAAAGCACUUUCAGCGAGGAAGAACGCCUAGUGGUUAAUACCCAUUAGGAAAGACAUCACUCGCAGAAGAAGCACCGGCUAACUCCGUGCCAGCAGCCGCGGUAAUACGGAGGGUGCAAGCGUUAAUCGGAAUUACUGGGCGUAAAGCGCGCGUAGGUGGCUUGAUAAGCCGGUUGUGAAAGCCCCGGGCUCAACCUGGGAACGGCAUCCGGAACUGUCAGGCUAGAGUGC
Molecule: ribosomal RNA, 577 nt
Filed under: uncultured bacterium
Lineage: Bacteria
Description: bacterial SSU rRNA
Rfam family: Bacterial small subunit ribosomal RNA
Source: RNAcentral